RNAcentral lists this ribosomal RNA (467 nucleotides) under uncultured bacterium. RNAcentral's name for it is "partial 16S ribosomal RNA". It matches the Rfam family "Bacterial small subunit ribosomal RNA", at positions 28 to 507 of the family's 1533-position model. The record is from RNAcentral.
GAUGAACGCUGGCGGCGUGCUUAACACAUGCAAGUCGAACGGAAAGGCUCCUGCUUGCAGGGGUACUCGAGUGGCGAACGGGUGAGUAACACGGGGGUGAUCUGCCCUGCACUUCGGGAUAAGCCUGGGAAACUGGGUCUAAUACCGGAUAGGACCACAUUUUGGAUGGUGUGGUGGAAAGUUUUUCGGUGUGGGAUGAGCUCGCGGCCUAUCAGCUUGUUGGUGGGGUAAUGGCCUACCAAGGCGUCGACGGGUAGCCGGCCUGAGAGGGUGUACGGCCACAUUGGGACUGAGAUACGGCCCAGACUCCUACGGGAGGCAGCAGUGGGGAAUAUUGCACAAUGGGCGCAAGCCUGAUGCAGCGACGCCGCGUGGGGGAUGACGGCCUUCGGGUUGUAAACUCCUUUCGCUAGGGAAGAAGCGUUUUUGUGACGGUACCUGGAGAAGAAGCACCGGCUAACUACGUG